AUUGAACGCUGGCGGCAUGCUUUACACAUGCAAGUCGAACGGCAGCACGGGGGUAACCCUGGUGGCGAGUGGCGAACGGGUGAGUAAUGCAUCGGAACAUAUCUUAAAGUGGGGAAUAACGCAUCGAAAGGUGUGCUAAUACUCCAUAUACUCUAAGGAGGAAAGCGGGGGAUCGAAAGACCUCGUGCUUUAAGGGUGGCCGAUGUCUGAUUAGCUAGUUGGUGGGGUAAAGGCUUACCAAGGCGACGAUCAGUAGCUGGUCUGAGAGGACGAUCAGCCACACUGGGACUGAGACACGGCCCAGACUCCUACGGGAGGCAGCAGUGGGGAAUUUUGGACAAUGGGCGAAAGCCUGAUCCAGCCAUGCCGCGUGAGUGAAG
This 380-nucleotide ribosomal RNA is filed under the name uncultured bacterium. RNAcentral describes it as "bacterial SSU rRNA". It matches the Rfam family "Bacterial small subunit ribosomal RNA", at positions 30 to 410 of the family's 1533-position model. The record is from RNAcentral.